This 1025-nucleotide ribosomal RNA is filed under the name Escherichia coli. Its description in RNAcentral is "partial 23S ribosomal RNA". It matches the Rfam family "Bacterial large subunit ribosomal RNA", at positions 165 to 1230 of the family's 2925-position model. Lineage: Bacteria; Pseudomonadati; Pseudomonadota; Gammaproteobacteria; Enterobacterales; Enterobacteriaceae. The record is from RNAcentral.
CAUAGGUUAAUGAGGCGAACCGGGGGAACUGAAACAUCUAAGUACCCCGAGGAAAAGAAAUCAACCGAGAUUCCCCCAGUAGCGGCGAGCGAACGGGGAGCAGCCCAGAGCCUGAAUCAGUGUGUGUGUUAGUGGAAGCGUCUGGAAAGGCGCGCGAUACAGGGUGACAGCCCCGUACACAAAAAUGCACAUACUGUGAGCUCGAUGAGUAGGGCGGGACACGUGGUAUCCUGUCUGAAUAUGGGGGGACCAUCCUCCAAGGCUAAAUACUCCUGACUGACCGAUAGUGAACCAGUACCGUGAGGGAAAGGCGAAAAGAACCCCGGCGAGGGGAGUGAAAAAGAACCUGAAACCGUGUACGUACAAGCAGUGGGAGCACGCUUCGGCGUGUGACUGCGUACCUUUUGUAUAAUGGGUCAGCGACUUAUAUUCUGUAGCAAGGUUAACCGAAUAGGGGAGCCGAAGGGAAACCGAGUCUUAACUGGGCGUUAAGUUGCAGGGUAUAGACCCGAAACCCGGUGAUCUAGCCAUGGGCAGGUUGAAGGUUGGGUAACACUAACUGGAGGACCGAACCGACUAAUGUUGAAAAAUUAGCGGAUGACUUGUGGCUGGGGGUGAAAGGCCAAUCAAACCGGGAGAUAGCUGGUUCUCCCCGAAAGCUAUUUAGGUAGCGCCUCGUGAAUUCAUCUCCGGGGGUAGAGCACUGUUUCGGCAAGGGGGUCAUCCCGACUUACCAACCCGAUGCAAACUGCGAAUACCGGAGAAUGUUAUCACGGGAGACACACGGCGGGUGCUAACGUCCGUCGUGAAGAGGGAAACAACCCAGACCGCCAGCUAAGGUCCCAAAGUCAUGGUUAAGUGGGAAACGAUGUGGGAAGGCCCAGACAGCCAGGAUGUUGGCUUAGAAGCAGCCAUCAUUUAAAGAAAGCGUAAUAGCUCACUGGUCGAGUCGGCCUGCGCGGAAGAUGUAACGGGGCUAAACCAUGCACCGAAGCUGCGGCAGCGACACUAUGUGUUGUUGGGUA